AAGUAACAACAGCCAGUGGAGACAAAAAGAACUGCUUCUCUUUCUUUCCCCCUCCAAGUUCCUAGUGGAGGGCUGAGUCCAGCAUCCCAGACUCGUGUGACUAUAUAGGUAAUGAAAGUCUUGCGGCACAAGUACCUCAUCAACUUCUAUCAGGCCAUUGAGAGCACAUCUCGAGUAUACAUCAUUCUGGAGCUGGCUCAGGGUGGUGACGUCCUUGAAUGGAUCCAGCGCUACGGGGCCUGCUCUGAGCCCCUUGCUGGCAAGUGGUUCUCCCAGCUGACCCUGGGCAUUGCCUACCUGCACAGCAAGAGCAUCGUGCACCGGUGAGGGCACUGCCACCCAGACUGAGGCCUUUGCCCUCAAGGGGGUUUUAUGCACAUCUCCCAUUUCCUGCCCUUUUUUCCUCUCUCGAACUCCCUCCUCAAUAUCUAGGCCUAUUCAUGCACUCUAUUUUAAUCAUAUGGUCAAGGAUACUGAUAAAGUACUCACUGUAGGCAAAGCAUUUUAUGAAAUACAGUGGUGAGCUCCCGGUGGUCCUCAGAUACCAUCCUCUCUCUCUCUGCCUACUUUGGGCUCUGCUCACAACUCCAUGGCUUUCCUUCCUCUCUACCUUGUGCCCUCAUAAUGGUUUCUACCUGCCACUUAUUCUGUCCUCAUCUUUACCCUCUGACCCCUGGCCCUUCAGCUCCCAGUCUAAAACUAAGCCCUCUCCCCAGCCUGAUGCCCAGCCUUUCUGCUGCUGGUAGGGACUUAAAGUUGGAGAACCUGUUGCUGGACAAGUGGGAGAAUGUGAAGAUAUCAGACUUUGGCUUCGCCAAGAUGGUGCCUUCUAACCAGCCUGUGGAUUCUAGCCCUUCUUACCGCCAAGUGAACUGCUUUUCCCACUUCAGCCAGACUUACUGUGGCAGCUUUGCUUAUGCUUGCCCGGAGAUCUUACGAGGCUUGCCCUACAACCCUUUCCUGUCUGACACCUGGAGCAUGGGCAUCAUCCUUUACACUCUAGUGGUCGCCCAUCUGCCCUUUGAUGACACCAAUCUCAAAAAGCUGCUAAGAGAGACUCAGAAGGAGGUCACUUUCCCAGCUAACCAUACCAUCUCCCAGGAGUGCAAGAACUUGAUCCUCCAGAUGCUACGCCAAGCCACUAAGCGUGCCACCAUUCUGGACAUCAUCAAGGAUCGCUGGGUGCUCAAGUUCCAGCCUGAGCAACCCACCCAUGAGAUCAGGCUGCUUGAGGCCAUGUGCCAGCUCCACAACACCACUAAACAGCACCAAUCCUUGGAAAUUAUGACCUGAAAAUGGCUGAAGGAGGGGGCUAAGAGAGGAGCAAAGCAGGAGGUCUUGGGCUAAAAAUCUUUUAUACCAAAAAUAAAUCUAAGUCUGAUUUAGUUUCAUCAA
RNAcentral lists this small RNA (1395 nucleotides) under Pongo abelii (Sumatran orangutan). RNAcentral's name for it is "retained intron". Lineage: Eukaryota; Metazoa; Chordata; Mammalia; Primates; Hominidae. The record is from RNAcentral.